This 243-nucleotide long non-coding RNA is filed under the name Linum usitatissimum (flax). RNAcentral describes it as "long non-coding RNA (LUSI_LNC005915)". The record is from RNAcentral. Lineage: Eukaryota; Viridiplantae; Streptophyta; Magnoliopsida; Malpighiales; Linaceae.
GGAUGGUCGGUGAUAGGAUGAGAUCCAAUCUUCAAGACCAGCAAGGGUAGAACUAACAACAACAACAACUGUAUGAGACUUCAAAUUCCACAGUCUCUCGUUUCUUUCUGACCAAAGGCCCGAAACUAGGGUGAAGACCUAUUGCUUGUGGAAAGUUGCACCAGAGUAGAGCACUUCAGAAAUUAAGUUCUGCCAGGUACCUGCUAAGAUCCAAAGAGUGUUUAACCAAGAUAAAAGGCCGGC